UCUCUUGGUUCUGGCAUCGAUGAAGAACGCAGCGAAAUGCGAUAAGUAGUGUGAAUUGCAGAAUUCAGUGAAUCAUCGAAUCUUUGAACGCACAUUGCGCCCCUUGGUAUUCCAUGGGGCAUGCCUGUUCGAGCGUCAUU
This 140-nucleotide ribosomal RNA is filed under the name Ascochyta medicaginicola var. medicaginicola. RNAcentral's name for it is "5.8S ribosomal RNA". It matches the Rfam family "5.8S ribosomal RNA", at positions 17 to 154 of the family's 154-position model. From Rfam's summary of the family: 5.8S ribosomal RNA (5.8S rRNA) is a component of the large subunit of the eukaryotic ribosome. The record is from RNAcentral. Lineage: Eukaryota; Fungi; Ascomycota; Dothideomycetes; Pleosporales; Didymellaceae.